Molecule: ribosomal RNA, 412 nt
Filed under: Chondrula tridens
Lineage: Eukaryota; Metazoa; Mollusca; Gastropoda; Stylommatophora; Enidae
Description: partial 16S ribosomal RNA
Source: RNAcentral
UGCCCAGUGAUUAUUUUUAACGGCCGCAGUACACUGACUGUGCUAAGGUAGCAUAAUGAUUUGUCUUUUGAUUGAGGACUGGAAUGAAGGGAUAAAUGGGAAGAAACUGUCUUAAAUGAAACUGACUAUAAUUUACUGUAGAAGGUGAAAAUUCCUUUAAUAGGAAAGAAAGACGAGAAGACCCUCAGAGUUAUAAUUAGAUUUCUAUCCUUUUAAAUAAAUUUUUGUUGGGGCAACAGAGUUAAAAAGGAGGGAAACUGACUUUUUAAGAAAUAUUCUACUCGAAACAUUAUAUCAAAUAAAGAAUUUAAUUACCUGAGGGAUAACAGCAUUAUUCAAAUAUGAGAAUAUGACCUCGAUGUUGGACUAGGAACACCCUUCAUUAGAUAUGAAGGGUGAAAGUUCUGUUCGA